This 67-nucleotide transfer RNA is filed under the name Marmota monax (woodchuck). RNAcentral's name for it is "tRNA.Ala". Lineage: Eukaryota; Metazoa; Chordata; Mammalia; Rodentia; Sciuridae. The record is from RNAcentral.
GGGGUUGUAGGUCAGUGGUAGAGCACUUGCCUAGCAUGCAAGAGGCAUGGUUUGAUCCCUAGCAUCA